Molecule: ribosomal RNA, 442 nt
Filed under: uncultured bacterium
Lineage: Bacteria
Description: partial 16S ribosomal RNA
Rfam family: Bacterial small subunit ribosomal RNA
Source: RNAcentral
CCUACGGGUGGCAGCAGUGGGGAAUAUUGGGCAAUGGGCGCAAGCCUGACCCAGCAACGCCGCGUGAAGGAAGAAGGCUUUCGGGUUGUAAACUUCUUUUCUGAGGGACGAAGAAAGUGACGGUACCUCAGGAAUAAGCCACGGCUAACUACGUGCCAGAAGCCGCGGUAAUACGUAGGAUGCGAGCGUUCUCCGGAUUUAUUGGGUUUAAAGGGUGCGUAGGCGGAUGUUUAAGUCAGCGGUAAACUGUCCGGGCUCAACCAGGGCCGGCGGUUGAAACUGGGGAUCUUGAGUGGGCGAGAAGUAUGCGGAAUGCGUGGUGUAGCGGUGAAAUGCAUAGAUAUCACGCAGAACUCCGAUUGCGAAGGCAGCAUACCGGCGCCCGACUGACGCUGAGGCAUGAAAGCGUGGGGAUCGAACAGGAUUAGAUACCCCUGUAGUC